This 1495-nucleotide long non-coding RNA is filed under the name Ananas comosus (pineapple). Its description in RNAcentral is "long non-coding RNA (ACOM_LNC028411)". Lineage: Eukaryota; Viridiplantae; Streptophyta; Magnoliopsida; Poales; Bromeliaceae. The record is from RNAcentral.
UCGGGGCAUAAUAGAACAUUUUAAUUAGGUAUUACUCUUUGUUCGAUUGAAUGAGAAAAAGUACUCGUUGUAAAUUUAUACUGUUAGGGCGCAAUUGAGUAGCUUAAUGUUGUUCCGGUUUUCGUUCUUGUUAACGUGGACAUCUAAUUUACCCUCUCGGGGCAUAAUAGAACAUUUUAAUUAGGUUUUACUCUUUGUUCGAUAGAAUGAGAAAAAGUACUCAUUUCAAAUUUAUACUGUUAGGGCGGAAUUGAGUAGCUUAAUGUUGUUCCGGUAUUCGUUCUUGUGAACUUGGACAUCUAAUUUACCCUCUCGGGGCAUAAUAGAAUAUUUUAAUUAGGUAUUACUCUUUGUUCGAUUGAAUGAGAAAAAGUACUCGUUGCAAAUUUAUACUGUUAGGGCACAAUUGAGUAGUAUAAUGUUGUUCGGGUUCUCGUUCUUGUGAAUGCGGACAUCUAAUUUACCCUCUCGGGGCAUUAUAGAACAUUUUAAUUUGGUAUUACUCUUUGUUCGAUUGAAUGAGAAAAAGUACUCUUUACAAAUUUAUACUGUUUUGCCGCAAUUGAGUUGUCCAGUUUUUUUCCGGUUUUCGUUGUUGUGAACGUGGACAUCUAAUUUAACCUCUCGGGGCAUAAUAGAAUAUUUUAAUUAGGUUUUACUCUUUGUUCGAUAGAAUGAGAAAAAGUAAUCCUUACAAAUUUAUACUAUUUGGCCGCAAUUGAGUAGCUUAAUGUUGUUCCGGUAUUCGUUCUUGUGAACGUGGACAUCUAAUUUACCCUCUCAGGGCAUAAUAGAACAUUUUAAUUAGGUUUUACACUUUGUUCGAUAGAAUGAGAAAAAGUACUCAUUGCAAAUUUAUACUGUUAGGGCAGAAUUGAGUAGAUUAAUGUUGUUCCGGUAUUUGUUCCUGUGAACUUGGACAUCUAAUUUACCCUCUCAGGGCAUAAUAAAAUAUUUUAAUUAGGUAUUACUCUUUGUUCGAUUGAAUGAGAAAAAGUACUCGUUGCAAAUAUAUACUAUUAGGGCGCAAUUGAGUAGUCUAAUGUUGUUUCGAUUUUCGUUCUUGUGAACGUGGACAUCUAAUUUACCUUCUCGGGGCAUAAUAGAUCAUUUUAAUUAGGUAUUACUGUUUGUUCGAUUGAAUGAGAAAAAGUACUAGUUGCAAAUUUAUACUGUUAGGGCGCAAUUGAGUAGUCUAAUGUUGUUCUGGUUCUCGUUCUUGUGAACGUGGACAUCUAAUUUACCCUCUCGGGGCAUAAUAGAACAUUUUAAUUAGGUAUUACUCUUUGUUCGAUUGAAUGAGAAAAAGUACUCGUUGCAAAUUUAUACUGUUAGGGCGGAAUUGAGUUGUCUAAAGUUGUUCCGGUUCUCGUUCUUGUGAACGUGGAGAUCUAAUUUAACCUCUCGGGGCAUAAUAGAACAUUUUAAUUAGGUAUUACUCUUUGUUCGAUUGAAUAAGAAAAAGUACUCUUUACAAAUUUAUACUGUUUGGCCG